Molecule: ribosomal RNA, 312 nt
Filed under: Triticum aestivum (bread wheat)
Lineage: Eukaryota; Viridiplantae; Streptophyta; Magnoliopsida; Poales; Poaceae
Description: partial small subunit ribosomal RNA
Source: RNAcentral
AUGUCUUCCUUCGUGCGGAGCAGCACCACUACGGGUCCUCGGCCCGAGCUGCUACUCACCACCGACCAACGCCGACCCAGGGCAGGUCCUUGCCAGGUCCACCCUGCUCCGGCCACGACACCGGCAAGACCACUGCUGCAUCUGUACACCGCGUUGUUGCUUGUUGCAUGUCAAGACCGUCUCCGUGGAUUUACGCCAAGUACCAAUACCGCCAAGUACCUCUUCGCAAGACCAAGUACCUCUCCGAACGAACGUGAACGACUGUCGUCGCAAGAACGGGACCGGAAAGUCCGAAGACCCCAAGUACCAUGA